AGAACGAACGCUGGCGGCAUGCCUAAUACAUGCAAGUCGAACGAGAUCUUCGGGUCUAGUGGCGCACGGGUGCGUAACGCGUGGGAAUCUACCCUUGGGUUCGGAAUAACAGUUGGAAACGACUGCUAAUACCGGAUGAUGACGAAAGUCCAAAGAUUUAUCGCCCAGGGAUGAGCCCGCGUAGGAUUAGCUAGUUGGUGAGGUAAAGGCUCACCAAGGCUACGAUCCUUAGCUGGUCUGAGAGGAUGAUCAGCCACACUGGGACUGAGACACGGCCCAGACUCCUACGGAGCAGCAGUAGG
Molecule: ribosomal RNA, 302 nt
Filed under: uncultured soil bacterium
Lineage: Bacteria
Description: bacterial SSU rRNA
Rfam family: Bacterial small subunit ribosomal RNA
Source: RNAcentral